Molecule: unclassified non-coding RNA, 18 nt
Filed under: Chlamydomonas reinhardtii
Lineage: Eukaryota; Viridiplantae; Chlorophyta; Chlorophyceae; Chlamydomonadales; Chlamydomonadaceae
Description: small RNA Cre_0371
Source: RNAcentral
ACUCAUGGUUGUAGCGGU